This 207-nucleotide ribosomal RNA is filed under the name uncultured bacterium. RNAcentral's name for it is "partial 16S ribosomal RNA". It matches the Rfam family "Bacterial small subunit ribosomal RNA", at positions 568 to 774 of the family's 1533-position model. The record is from RNAcentral.
CUCGUAGGCGGUUCGUCGCGUCCGGUGUGAAAGUCCAUCGCUUAACGGUGGAUCUGCGCCGGGUACGGGCGGGCUGGAGUGCGGUAGGGGAGACUGGAAUUCCCGGUGUAACGGUGGAAUGUGUAGAUAUCGGGAAGAACACCAAUGGCGAAGGCAGGUCUCUGGGCCGUUACUGACGCUGAGGAGCGAAAGCGUGAGGAGCGAACA